GACGGGGGCCCGCACAAGCAGUGGAUUAUGUGGUUUAAUUCGACGCAACGCGAAGAACCUUACCAGGGCUUGACAUCCAACUAACGAGGCAGAGAUGCGUUAGGUGCCCUUCGGGGAAAGUUGAGACAGGUGGUGCAUGGUUGUCGUCAGCUCGUGUCGUGAGAUGUUGGGUUAAGUCCCGCAACGAGCGCAACCCUUAUUGCUAGUUGCUACGCAAGAGCACUCUAGCGAGACUGCCGUUGACAAAACGGAGGAAGGCGGGGACGACGUCAAAUCAUCAUGCCCCUUAUGUCCUGGGCUACACACGUAAUACAAUGGCGAUCAACAAAGGGAAGCAAAGCCGCGAGGCAGAGCAAAUCCCCAAAAGUCGUCUCAGUUCGGAUCGUGGGCUGCAACCCGCCCACGUGAAGUCGGAAUUGCUAGUAAUCGCGGAUCAGCAUGCCGCGGUGAAUACGUUCCCGGGCCUUGUACACACCUGCCCGUCACACCAUGAGAGUCGGGAACACCCGAAGUCCGUAGUCUAACCGCAAGGAGGGCGCGGCCGAAGGUGGGCUUGAGGAUUGGGGUGAANUCGUAACAAGGUGGGGCGUUCGAAA
This 596-nucleotide ribosomal RNA is filed under the name uncultured bacterium. RNAcentral describes it as "bacterial SSU rRNA". It matches the Rfam family "Bacterial small subunit ribosomal RNA", at positions 912 to 1510 of the family's 1533-position model. The record is from RNAcentral.